CCUACGGGAGGCUGCAGUAGGGAAUAUUGGGCAAUGGCGGAAACGCUGACCCAGCCAUGCCGCGUGGAGGAAGACGGCGCUCAGCGUUGUAAACUCCUUUUAUCGGUGAAGAACGACCCGCUUGCGAGCGGGUGUGACGGUAGCCGAGGAAUCAGCACCGGCUAACUCCGUGCCAGCAGCCGCGGUAAUACGGAGGGUGCAAGCGUUGUCCGGAUUUAUUGGGUUUAAAGGGUGCGUAGGUGGGUGCUUAAGUCCGACCUGAAAGUGGGCCGCUC
This 275-nucleotide ribosomal RNA is filed under the name uncultured bacterium. RNAcentral's name for it is "partial 16S ribosomal RNA". It matches the Rfam family "Bacterial small subunit ribosomal RNA", at positions 338 to 610 of the family's 1533-position model. The record is from RNAcentral.